AAAAAGGCUUUAUUCAAAGCCAGCUCUAAGGAGAUUGAGGGCUUUAU
This is a non-coding RNA of Heterocephalus glaber (naked mole-rat), 47 nucleotides long. Lineage: Eukaryota; Metazoa; Chordata; Mammalia; Rodentia; Bathyergidae. The record is from Rfam.